Molecule: ribosomal RNA, 253 nt
Filed under: uncultured bacterium
Lineage: Bacteria
Description: partial 16S ribosomal RNA
Rfam family: Bacterial small subunit ribosomal RNA
Source: RNAcentral
UACGGAGGGUGCGAGCGUUGUCCGGAAUCACUGGGCGUAAAGGGCGCGUAGGCGGCCUGGUAAGUAGGGGGUGAAAUCCUGCGGCUUAACCGCAGGGCUGCCUUCUAAACUGUCAGGCUCGAGCACGGUAGAGGCAGAUGGAAUUCCCGGUGUAGCGGUGGAAUGCGUAGAGAUCGGGAAGAACAUCAGUGGCGAAGGCGGUCUGCUGGGCCGUUGCUGACGCUGAGGAGCGAAAGCUAGGGGAGCAAACGGG